AAAGCAAGCCGUUCUAUCGCUGUCCCGCAUUUGCUGGAGAGAGGAAAGUCCGGGCAACACAGAGCAUCCUGCUUCUUAACGGGAAGGCUUCACGUAAGUGGAGACGGAAAGUGCCACAGAAAAUAUACUACCCCUUAACUUAGGUUUUGGGGAAAAGGUGAAAACGUGAGGUAAGAGCUCACGGUAUUGUAUGGUGACAUACAGUGCGGUAAACCCCAGGAGUUGAAAGACCAAAUAGGUUCCGGACGUGAAGCUGCUCGCUUCCUUAUCCCGUACGUGCGGGAUUAUACGGAAUGGGUAGGUCGUUAGAUCUCGCAAGCAAUUGCGCGACCAGAUAAAUGAUAGAUACCGCCCUAGGCGGAUACAGAACCCGGCUUACAGGCUUGCAUUUUUU
RNAcentral lists this RNase P RNA (394 nucleotides) under Sphingobacteriia bacterium 35-40-5. RNAcentral describes it as "RNase P RNA component class A". It matches the Rfam family "Bacterial RNase P class A". From Rfam's summary of the family: Ribonuclease P (RNase P) is a ubiquitous endoribonuclease, found in archaea, bacteria and eukarya as well as chloroplasts and mitochondria. Lineage: Bacteria; Pseudomonadati; Bacteroidota; Sphingobacteriia. RNAcentral also lists the same sequence under 4 other names. The record is from RNAcentral.